AGAUUGAACGCUGGCGGCGUGCCUAACUACAUGCAAGUCGAGCGGCAGCACGGGGGCAACCCUGGUGGCGAGUGGCGAACGGGUGAGUAAUGCAUCGGAACGUAUCCUUGAGUGGGGGAUAACGCAGCGAAAGUUGUGCUAAUACCGCAUAAGCUCUGAGGAGGAAAGCGGGGGACCGAAAGGCCUCGCGCUGAAGGAGCGGCCGAUGUCCGAUUAGCUGGUUGGUGGGGUAACGGACCCGACCAAGGCGACGAUCGGUAGCUGGUCUGAGAGGAUGAUCAGCCACACUGGGACGUGAGACACGGCCCACGACUCCUACGGGCGGGCAGC
RNAcentral lists this ribosomal RNA (330 nucleotides) under uncultured prokaryote. RNAcentral's name for it is "bacterial SSU rRNA". It matches the Rfam family "Bacterial small subunit ribosomal RNA", at positions 26 to 352 of the family's 1533-position model. The record is from RNAcentral.